Molecule: ribosomal RNA, 524 nt
Filed under: Enterobacter sp.
Lineage: Bacteria; Pseudomonadati; Pseudomonadota; Gammaproteobacteria; Enterobacterales; Enterobacteriaceae
Description: bacterial SSU rRNA
Rfam family: Bacterial small subunit ribosomal RNA
Source: RNAcentral
AACCUUACCUGGUCUUGACAUCCACAGAACUUUCCAGAGAUGGAUUGGUGCCUUCGGGAACUGUGAGACAGGUGCUGCAUGGCUGUCGUCAGCUCGUGUUGUGAAAUGUUGGGUUAAGUCCCGCAACGAGCGCAACCCUUAUCCUUUGUUGCCAGCGGUUCGGCCGGGAACUCAAAGGAGACUGCCAGUGAUAAACUGGAGGAAGGUGGGGAUGACGUCAAGUCAUCAUGGCCCUUACGACCAGGGCUACACACGUGCUACAAUGGCGCAUACAAAGAGAAGCGACCUCGCGAGAGCAAGCGGACCUCAUAAAGUGCGUCGUAGUCCGGAUUGGAGUCUGCAACUCGACUCCAUGAAGUCGGAAUCGCUAGUAAUCGUAGAUCAGAAUGCUACGGUGAAUACGUUCCCGGGCCUUGUACACACCGCCCGUCACACCAUGGGAGUGGGUUGCAAAAGAAGUAGGUAGCUUAACCUUCGGGAGGGCGCUUACCACUUUGUGAUUCAUGACUGGGGUGAAGUCGUAA